GGGGCCGACUGGAAUUGACAGGUUAGGAGUGGUUUCUGUAAGCAUGCCGGGUAAUGCGGUAGAAUCCCGUAAAACGCAAUCGCACAUUAUUAAUUGGCGAAUAUAAUUAUUCUUUAGCAGCUUAAUCUAGGAUUAAACAAUGCUAAUCUUUCCCAGCAGCCCUGUUCGUUGGCGGUUGAUCAGGAAGGAGCGCAAGAACGAAAUAAGCCUGUAAAAGUCUUGGUUAUAGGUCGAAAACUAAAGAGACUCAGACCUAAGUUCGGUUAGUUUCAGACCUGCUUUGGUUAACAUCAACUGAAACUAAGCAUGUAGAAAGCAUUUAUUGCACUAUCUCUGGACGGGAGUUCGAAUCUCCCCGGCUCCACCU
Molecule: transfer-messenger RNA, 367 nt
Filed under: Bacteroidia
Lineage: Bacteria; Pseudomonadati; Bacteroidota
Also listed under: 1 other name
Description: JABINZ01 sp018698135 Standard tmRNA
Rfam family: transfer-messenger RNA
About the family: Bacterial tmRNA, also known as 10Sa RNA or SsrA, is named for its dual tRNA and mRNA-like properties. Its role is to liberate the mRNA from a stalled ribosome.
Source: RNAcentral